GACCUCAAAUCGGGUGAGACUACCCGCUGAACUUAA
RNAcentral lists this ribosomal RNA (36 nucleotides) under Lactarius sanguifluus. RNAcentral describes it as "partial 28S ribosomal RNA". Lineage: Eukaryota; Fungi; Basidiomycota; Agaricomycetes; Russulales; Russulaceae. RNAcentral also lists the same sequence under 3 other names. The record is from RNAcentral.